RNAcentral lists this ribosomal RNA (583 nucleotides) under uncultured bacterium. Its description in RNAcentral is "bacterial SSU rRNA". It matches the Rfam family "Bacterial small subunit ribosomal RNA", at positions 102 to 679 of the family's 1533-position model. The record is from RNAcentral.
ACGGGUGAGUAAUACUUAGGAAUCUGCCUAUUAAUGGGGACAACAUCUCGAAAGGGAUGCUAAUACCGCAUACGCCCUACGGGGGAAAGCAGGGGAUCACUUGUGACCUUGCGUUAAUAGAUGAGCCUAAGUCGGAUUAGCUAGUUGGUGGGGUAAAGGCCUACCAAGGCGACGAUCUGUAGCGGGUCUGAGAGGAUGAUCCGCCACACUGGGACUGAGACACGGCCCAGACUCCUACGGGAGGCAGCAGUGGGGAAUAUUGGACAAUGGGGGGAACCCUGAUCCAGCCAUGCCGCGUGUGUGAAGAAGGCCUUAUGGUUGUAAAGCACUUUAAGCGAGGAGGAGGCUCUCUUGGUUAAUACCCAAGAAGAGUGGACGUUACUCGCAGAAUAAGCACCGGCUAACUCUGUGCCAGCAGCCGCGGUAAUACAGAGGGUGCGAGCGUUAAUCGGAUUUACUGGGCGUAAAGCGUGCGUAGGCGGCUUUUUAAGUCGGAUGUGAAAUCCCCGAGCUUAACUUGGGAAUUGCAUUCGAUACUGGGAAGCUAGAGUAUGGGAGAGGAUGGUAGAAUUCCAGGUGUAGC